CAGUUUGCACUUGACCCGUCAAAUCUAUGGAAAUAAAGUCAAGAAAGGCGUUAGUGCCUACACAAGGUGGAAAGUCCGAUUACUGAAUAUUAAUGUACCAUUCCAACAACAAACACAUCAAAGUCCACCCCUUCGGACACUCUUUUCCCUAGAAUGCACCUCUUCUGUAACGUACAGCCUAAAGAACUUGAGGAAAUGGUUCUGAGAGAACAGGGCAGAGAUUUUGUGAUACUCUGCUGUUGAACUCCUUUAGUAAUACACCCGCAUUAGAAAAUGGGCAAACAAUUUUUCUUAAAACGAGGGGAUGUGUUAUGAGCAUCUGAAAUACCACAUGGAGUGCUGAAGUCAUAGUUUACAUAAGCUGCCCAUCAAUUUCCUGUCUUCAGCAAGAUUAACCUUUGAAAAGGUGAGUUUCUAGCAGCGUCUUUCCAUUUCAGUCAUUCAGGCAACCUUAUUAGCCCUUUCAGUGAGAGUGAAGUGGAGGGCCCUCUGGUCCAAACUUGUUUUGUGAAACAUUGUCCUUUUAUGUUUCCUAUUGAAAGUCGGUGUUUGUAAAUGUUGUCAUUGAAUAGUGUAUUUUGAAUGAGACUUGACUCAUAUUGUAAAGCACGGCUUUCAUAGAUCUGUAGAUAUGAAUAAACCUUAGGGUUUCAAUGUACCAGAGAAAUCAGCUCCUUGUCACUGGAGCCAAGCAAUAAUGUGGUAUAUCAGAGUCCCAGAACCACAGACAGGAUUAUGUCGGGAGCCUAAGGACAGACAGCGUUGGUGGUUUUGAAACAAACUUCCAGUGUGCUCAGUAGAUGCCACGACAUGAGGACCAUGGGCGUGCCAUCUGGUAGGCACCUUGGGAAAAUGAACAAGUGUCCUCACAUCACUCUCCUUUGAGGAAUUAUUAAGAGCACCAAAUAGAGAGGACUGAGAACAAAACAUGACUCAUGGCUGAUUAAUUUAUGCAGAGAACCCAAAGACCUUAUUGAAAUGGCACAGCCUUGGGAAUUCUUUCCUCUGCUGUUCCUAGAUACCCCUACAGUAUGUGUGUACAGACAACGUAUGCCAUCCACGUCAAAUGACCUUUAUUUAUAUAUGUUUUAUUUUUAUUAAUGUAUCUGCAUUUUGAAGCAAGGCCUUACUAUACAGCUCAAUGUAACCUGAAACUUUAUAUAGCCCAGUGUGACAUAAAAUUCACAAGUACUGGCAUGUACCACCACACCUAAAAUCAUUUAGUGUAUCUGGGUAGAAUGCCUUAUGCACUAUUUUCAUACUCUCUGCCCAACAAUUAUGGAUUAGACCACAAAACAGGAGUUACCCUUGAUCCUUUCACCUUGCCCCACACUCACAGGACCUUCAGAACAUGGUAACUGGGAUAUCCUGGCAGACAAUUAAUUGACAGGCUUAAAUAAAGACUCAAGUUUCCUUCCCAAACUGUUGGCCUAUUAAGAAAAUGAAUGGCCAUUUUGCACUGCACACUCAUUUGAAUUACAUAGUCUUUGUACAACCUGGUGGUUAUUUUAUUCAUAUAAUUAUUCAUGUGCUUUUCUUAAGGCGCCUUUGUCUCACUGUGAUAAAAUAUAAAAUUUUGUGCAGUAAUUGCAUGGAGUCACCCACAAUGGGUGGUGCAGUUUGCUGCUUUUGCUGUUGCUAAAGAAUGAAAGGCACAAAUCAAGCUGCCAACCAUAAGUGAGCAAAAGAAGGUUAACAGAGCAAAACAGCAAUUAGCAGAAAAUGAACACAAAUAAGCCUUCCUUCAUCACAGAGGCCCUGGGGCGCACCCUCACUCUCUGCCUGCAAUAGCCAGCAACAGGAAACCAGGCCAGAAGUCCCUACUGUGGCCAAGACUUCUCUUAUAGUUCAUUAGUGAAAAAGAGUUCUAUACGUGAGUAGUAGGGUACAUACAUUCAGGCAAUAUACCCCCCUCCUCCCACAAUAUCACCUCUGUGAUCGAAUCUCUUCAUAGAAAGUGCUAAUAUUCCUCUGUGACAGAUAGUCUCUUCACACAGUGCUAAUAAAGAUAAUAUAAGACCAUGGAUAAAGGCUUAGACUUUUUUAUACACACAUUAAAAACAAAGGAUUAAAGUUAGGAAUGCAAUAAUAUAAACCAAUAUGUAUAAACAAUAUUGUGAGUUUUUGUUUUGUUUGUUUGCUUGCUUAGUUGGUUGGUUGGUUUGGUUUUUCAAGACAUGGUUUCUCUGUGUAGCCCUAGCUGUCCUGGAACUCAUUCUGUAGGCCAAGCUGGCCUCAAACUCAGAGAUCUGCCUGCCUCUGCCUCCCAAGAGCUGGGAUUAAAGGUGUGCCCCACUACUGACUGCCUAUGGUGUAGUUUUAAUAUGCAUUUAAUAUUGAAAUAUGUUCUAAGUCUUUGGAACAUGAGUGUCUUUUAACUCUUUUCAAUUUAGACUUUCUUCCUUGCCAGUGCUCAGCAGCAAAGUGUGGCCAGUGGCUAGUUAUCUGCACUUAUCUCCUCCACUCUCUUCUCUUUUCUUUUCCUUUUAGACACAGGAUCAUGUGGAGGAGAGGCUAGCCUUAAAUUUGCUAUUUAGAUGAAAAUGAUGUUAAACCCUUACUCCUCUUGCCUCCAUCUCUGGAGUUUUAGCUGUAUAGACAUGACCCACCAAGUCCAGUUUAUGUGCUGUUGGUGUUGAAUCUAGGGUUUCAUGCAUGCUAGGCAAGAGCUGAGUCACAUCCAUAGCUGGCACUGUGAAGUUCUUCUGCCGCCCGCCCCCUCUCCCCCCGCCCCGCACCUUUCUAUCUAGAGUUUGGUGUGUUUUUUAAAACACUUAUUAGAUUUUAAAUUAAUUCAUAAUUCUUAUUAAUAUCACAAUGGAGACUGAAAUGUCUCUGGUUUGUAAGCUGUUUUUUAAAUUAAUGGGUUUUUAAAUGUCACUAAAAAAUAUCUGUCAUUUUACUCAGAUUCUAGGACCACGGGGAAAGAAGACAGUUUUUAGCUUAUUAAAUUUGCUUCUAAAUACCUCAGUGUUCAACUGAAGUGCUCAUUUAGGGUAUAUUAUAAUUUCAUACAUAAGAUAACUACAUUGACUGUUAUUUUAGACACCCAAAUGUUUUUAAAUCAUGAAAGGGGUAUUCAUGCUGAUGUUAGCAGGCUGUCAGCAAACCGAAGGCUCAUUCAGAAAAUGUCUAGGUUCCUUUCACAGCCUGCAGUGCUUCUGUGAAAGAAUCUAUUCACUCUACAUGUUUGCCUGUCAUCAGUGGAAUUUUUUAGCCAUUCCUAGGGAAGAUAAUACUCAAUUAUUUUCCAGAGGUACAAUCUAUAUUCCAUUUCUAAUCUGUAAGCUUUUUCU
This 3296-nucleotide long non-coding RNA is filed under the name Mus musculus (house mouse). RNAcentral's name for it is "long non-coding RNA chr3:141649174-141652470". The record is from RNAcentral. Lineage: Eukaryota; Metazoa; Chordata; Mammalia; Rodentia; Muridae.